AUUUAACGCUGGCGGCAGGCCUAACACAUGCAAGUCGAACGAGUGGCGGACGGGUGAGUAAUGUCUGGGAAACUGACUGAUGGAGGGGGAUAACUACUGGAAACGGAAGCUAAUACCGCAUACCAUCCGAUGGUCACAGAUGGGCUUAGCUUGUUGGUGGGGUAACGGCUCACCAAGGCGACGAUCCCUAGCGUGUCUGAGAGGAUGACCAUCCAAACUGGAACUGAGACACGGUCCAGCCUCCUACGGCAGUCAGCAUUGGUGAAUAUUGCACAAUGGGCGCAAGCCUGAUGCAGCCAUGCCGCGUGUAUGAAGAAGGCCUUCGGGUUGUAAAGUACUUUCAGCGGGGAGGCGUUACCCGCAGAAGAAGCGCCGGCUAACUCCGUGCCGGCAGCCGCGGUAAUUC
Molecule: ribosomal RNA, 406 nt
Filed under: uncultured bacterium
Lineage: Bacteria
Description: partial 16S ribosomal RNA
Rfam family: Bacterial small subunit ribosomal RNA
Source: RNAcentral